This 495-nucleotide ribosomal RNA is filed under the name uncultured bacterium. RNAcentral describes it as "partial 16S ribosomal RNA". It matches the Rfam family "Bacterial small subunit ribosomal RNA", at positions 28 to 507 of the family's 1533-position model. The record is from RNAcentral.
GACGAACGCUGGCGGCGUGCCUAAUACAUGCAAGUAGAACGCUGAAGGAGGAGCUUGCUCUUCUGGAUGAGUUGCGAACGGGUGAGUAACGCGUAGGUAACCUGCCUGGUAGCGGGGGAUAACUAUUGGAAACGAUAGCUAAUACCGCAUAACAGUAGAUGUUGCAUGACAUUUGCUUAAAAGGUGCAAUUGCAUCACUACCAGAUGGACCUGCGUUGUAUUAGCUAGUUGGUGGGGUAACGGCUCACCAAGGCGACGAUACAUAGCCGACCUGAGAGGGUGAUCGGCCACACUGGGACUGAGACACGGCCCAGACUCCUACGGGAGGCAGCAGUAGGGAAUCUUCGGCAAUGGACGGAAGUCUGAACGAGCAACGCCGCGUGAGUGAAGAAGGUUUUCGGAUCGUAAAGCUCUGUUGUAAGAGAAGAACGAGUGUGAGAGUGGAAAGUUCACACUGUGACGGUAUCUUAACAGAAAGGGACGGCUAACUACGUG